AACCCCCMGCUAGGCUGGGGGUUCAGUAAAGCUUUCAGCUUUGGGUCAGUUAUAAAAACCCCUUUUGAUUUCUUGUUGAACAUUUGCAGUUGCCAGACCGCAAACUGUUUUAACAAAUCAAAAG
This 124-nucleotide small RNA is filed under the name Yersinia pestis 24H. RNAcentral describes it as "Hfq binding sRNA". It matches the Rfam family "STnc490 Hfq binding RNA". The record is from RNAcentral. Lineage: Bacteria; Pseudomonadati; Pseudomonadota; Gammaproteobacteria; Enterobacterales; Yersiniaceae.